This is a long non-coding RNA of Lolium perenne, 1298 nucleotides long. RefSeq lists it as uncharacterized. Lineage: Eukaryota; Viridiplantae; Streptophyta; Magnoliopsida; Poales; Poaceae. The record is from RefSeq and is a predicted model, not a curated record.
GCCCCAUCUUUUCCACUCGUGCCUCUCAUUUUCUCCUUUCCCCUCCAUGGCCGCCACGGUGGCCUGCUCCCCUCCCUCCCCUGGCAACCACGGUGGCCUGCUCCCCUUCCUCCCCUGACCACAGCCAGUGCUGCUGCACGCCGAGCCACACCCUCCUCCUCUCUAUUCCCCAACACUAGGCGGCGGCGCCAUGGCAUCGGGGCAGGGCGCGCGCCGAUCGACGUGCGACGCGUCCUUGGGAGGCACUUGGGUGGCGGCGACGUCGUCGGUGUGGAGGCGGUCCAGCAAGCAGGGGGAGGGGCACACCUUCUCUAUUCCCCAUCGGCAGUUGGCUGCGCCAUGGCAUCGGGUGGGGCGCGCGCCGAUCUGCAUACGGAGCGACCUCGGGAGGCAGCUGGGUGGCGGCGACGCCUCCGGCGCGGAGGCGGGACAGCAAGCAGGGAGAGUGAGAGGUCGGAUGCAGCCACCUCGACCACGAGUUCAUCCGCGACCGACGACCAAUCACCAGCGGCUAGAUGCGUCAUCGGGCAGGGGAGGGUGCCGACCUUCGUUCGUGCGUCGUCGGCUACACGGCUACCUCUGCCGUCGGCACGUCGCUGCCAGCUUCGGGCGGUACAAGGAGCGACGGGAGUCCAGGUGAGAAGAAUAGCAUCGCGCAGGCUAACCACCGGCAUCCAGUCCUGACGAGGACAAAAGGCAUAGUCGUGAAUUUUACAGGGGAGUCAAGCAUAUCAGAUGCAUGUUUACAUACAUGGAUUCUAAACGAUGUCGCCAAUAGUUGAGUCACUCCUGGAUGUUUUGAAGCCUUCUGAGAAACCUCAGCAUACUAUGGCACCAGAGAUUCCAUUGAUUUUACUACUUUUCCUAUUUGGAUACAUCUCGCACGGAGGAGAUCAAAAGGUCCAGGUCAUUGUUUUGCUAUGUAUCUGUGGCUUAUGCUGAAACUUUUUCUCAUAACGAUUGUUGGGGGUGUGAACUUAUUAGUGGUUUAUGUUGGAAGCUAGCGAGUUCUCUGAUAAUUUUUCUGAACUGGUGUCUUCUGGCUGAAGUAAUUCCAAUGCGAGAACUGAGCUAAACUUCAUGUUGUACUCAUUGGCAUCAGAGCCAUGUUACGGAAACUGAGUCAUCAUCACAUCAUUUUCAGGAUGGAUGUAGGUACUUAUUCUUCAGAACUAUUUGAUUUCCAUUGAGUAGUCAAAGUCUUCUUUCUUCAUUUUUUCAAAGGAAGCUGAAUAGAAAGCUCCAUCACUAUUUAUCGUAUGGCUACUUAUUUCCCGAGAAAACGAAAGGAUAGGUGA